RNAcentral lists this ribosomal RNA (406 nucleotides) under uncultured bacterium. RNAcentral's name for it is "partial 16S ribosomal RNA". It matches the Rfam family "Bacterial small subunit ribosomal RNA", at positions 29 to 526 of the family's 1533-position model. The record is from RNAcentral.
AUUGAACGCUGGCGGCAGGCUUAACACAUGCAAGUCGAGCGAGAGGCGGACGGGUGUGUAAUGUCGGGGAAACUGCCUGAUGGAGGGGGAUAACUAAUGGAAGCGGUAGCUAAUAACGCAUAACAUCAGAUGUGCCCAGAUGGGCUGAGCUAGGAGGUGGGGUAAGGGCUCACAUAGGCGACGAUGCCUAGCUGGUCGGAGAGGAUGACCAGCCACACGGGAACUGAUACACGGGCCAGACUCCUACGGGAGGCAGCAGUGGGGAAUAUGGCACAAUGGGCGCAAGCCUGAUGCAGCCAUGCCGCGUGUGUGAAGAAGGCCUUCGGGUUGUAAAGCACUUUCAGCGAGGAGGCGUUACUCGCAGAAGAAGCACCGGCUAACUCCGUGCCAGCAGCCGCGGUAAUUC